CCCCAGGCCCCAGUCCCAUCCCCAGGCCCCAGUCCCAUCCCCAGGCCCCAGUCCCAUCCCCAGGCCCCAGUCCCAGUCUCAUCCCCAGGGCCCAGUCCCAUCCCCAGGCCCCAGUCCCAUCCCCAGGCCCCAGUCCCAGUCCUAUCCCCAGGCCCAUCCCCAGUCCCAUCCCCAGUCCCAGUCCUAUCCCCAGGCCCAUCCCCAGUCCCAGUCCCAUCCCCAGGCCCCAGUCCCAUCCCCAGUCCCAUCCCCAGGCACCAGUCCCAUCCCCAGGCCCCAGUCCCAAUCUCAUCCCCAGGCCCCAGUCCCAGUCCCAUCCCCAGUCUCAUCCCCAGCCCCAGUCCAAUCCCCAGGCCCCAGUCCCAUCCCCAGGCCCCAGUCCCAUCCCCAGUCCCAGUCUUAUCCCCAGGCCCCAGUCCCAUCCCCAGGCCCCAGUCCCAUCCCCAGGCCCAUCCCCAGGCCCCAGUCCCAUCCCCAGGCCCCAGUCCCAUCCCCAGGCCCAUCCCCAGGCCCCAGUCCCAUCCCCAGGCCCCAGUCCCAUCCCCAGGCCCCAGUCCCAGUCUCAUCCCCAGGGCCCAGUCCCAUCCCCAGGCCCCAGUCCCAUCCCCAGGCCCCAGUCCCAGUCCUAUCCCCAGGCCCAUCCCCAGUCCCAGUCCCAUCCCCAGGCCCCAGUCCCAGUCCUAUCCCCAGGCCCAUCCCCAGUCCCAGUCCCAUCCCCAGGCCCCAGUCCCAUCCCCAGUCCCAUCCCCAGGCACCAGUCCCAUCCCCAGGCCCCAGUCCCAAUCUCAUCCCCAGGCCCCAGUCCCAGUCCCAUCCCCAGUCCCAUCCCCAGCCCCAGUCUCAUCCCCAGGCCCCAGUCCCAUCCCCAGGCCCCAGUCCCAUCCCCAGGCCCCAGUCCCAUCCCCCAGUCCCAGUCUCAUCCCCAGGGCCCAGUCCCAUCCCCAGGCCCCAGUCCCAUCCCCAGGCCCCAGUCCCAGUCCUAUCCCCAGGCCCAUCCCCAGUCCCAUCCCCAGGCCCAGUCCCAUCCCCAGUCCCAUCCCCAGGCACCAGUCCCAUCCCCAGGCCCCAGUCCCAAUCUCAUCCCCAGGCCCCAGUCCCAGUCCCAUCCCCAGUCUCAUCCCCAGCCCCAGUCCAAUCCCCAGGCCCCAGUCCCAUCCCCAGGCCCCAGUCCCAGUCUCAUCCCCAGGCCCCAGUCCCAUCCCCAGGCCUCAGUCUCAUCCGCAGGCCUCAGUACCAUCCCCAGGCCCCAGUCCCAGUCCCAUCCCCAGGCCUCAGUCCCAUACCCAGGCCCCAGUCCCAGUCACACCCCCAGUCCCAGUCCCAUCCCCAGGGCCAGUCCCAUCCCCAGUCCCAGUCCCAUCCCCAGGCCUCAGUCCCAUACCCAGGCCCCAGUCCCAGUCACACCCCCAGUCCCAGUCCCAUCCCCAGGGCCAGUCCCAUCCCCAGGCCCCAGUCCCAGUCACACCCCCAGUCCCAGUCUCAUCCCCAGGCCCCAGUCCCAUCCCCAGGCCCCAGUCCCAGUCACACCCCCAGUCCCAGUCUCAUCCCCAGGCCCCAGUCCCAUCCCCAGGCCCCUGUCCCAUCCCCAGGCACCAGUCAUACCCCCAGUCCCAGUCUUGUCCCAGUCCCAGCCCCAUUCCCAGUCUUGUCCCAGUCUUGUCCCAGUCCCAGUCUUGUCUCAGUCCCAGUCUUGUCCCAGUCCCAGUCCCAGUCUUGUCCCAGUCCCAGUCCCAGUCUUGUCCCAGUCCCAGUCUUGUCUCAGUCCCAGUCUUGUCUCAGUCCCAGUCUUGUCCCAGUCCCAUUCCCAGUCCCAGUCUUGUCCCAGUCCCAGUCCCAGUCUUGUCCCAGUCCCAGUCUUGUCCCAGUCCCAGUCUUGUCCCAGUCCCAGUCUUGUCCCAGUCUUGUCCCAGUCCCAGUCUUGUCCCCCACUUCAGGUCUGUAUGUGAAUCCACCACAAGCUGCCUGGUCAACAACUCAAUAAUUAAUGGCCAAUAA
Molecule: long non-coding RNA, 1995 nt
Organism: Salmo trutta (river trout)
Lineage: Eukaryota; Metazoa; Chordata; Actinopteri; Salmoniformes; Salmonidae
Source: Ensembl